Long non-coding RNA from Diabrotica virgifera virgifera (western corn rootworm), 920 nucleotides. RefSeq lists it as uncharacterized. The record is from RefSeq and is a predicted model, not a curated record. The transcript has 2 exons. Lineage: Eukaryota; Metazoa; Arthropoda; Insecta; Coleoptera; Chrysomelidae.
UGGAUGUUGAGUACAAAUUAGAUAAACAACAACUAAUCUUAAUCGAGCCGUAAAAUACCGCAACCAAAAUGUUAAGCAAUAUCUGCAUUUAUGAAACGUCUGAGAAAUGUCAAUUCUGUCAACAUAGCGCGGUGUAAAUAGCGCAACGUAGGCUGUGUUAAAUUUGCAAUAUCUCUCUAAAUAUUCACUAUUCACGUUACAGAAGUGAGUAUGAACCUUGACUAAGCUCUACCUUAAUUUCCCGACUCUGCACCCCCACUACUGUUUAUAUGUGCACGUAUUUAACGAAUGGCGGGAAGUUUGAAAAUGGCCAUGACCAACCAGCUAGAGCAAUCUAACCUUACACUUACAUUUAUAAAAGUGUUUUGUUAUUGUUUUUGUAUAAGUGAACUAUUUUAAUUUUAUCAAAUUUACGUUUUAUAUUAAUAAAAUGUAUCCUUAGAAUUUGAGGAACAAUUUAGUGAUGAUGAAAGAAUAAUAUAUUUUUUAAAUAACGCUUGAACCUGUACCAUACAAGAACGAAAAAAGUUAUGAAAGAAUUUGAUGAUAACAAAUUUUUAUUAAGGUUUAUAGUUUCCAUAAAAAUACUGUGAGAUAAUUUAUACAAGAGCUGGUCCCUGGUUUCCAUUAUGUAAUUCUUUAGUAGGUAUGAUGAGCCUAAUAUCACAGAUCAAGUUUUAAUAACAUUAAAAACUUAUAUUAUGAGUUGUUUUUAUUUAUUGUAUGGUUUUGGUGGUAUACCUAUACAAAACAACUACUGAAAGAUUUAUAAAACCCAUGAAGUACUGGCAGAUAACAUAGUUGUUGAUAUUGAUAGAGAAUAUGUUAACACAGAAGAUAUUCCAUUUAUGAGUACUAAUCUAUAAACAUGUUAUAAAAUACUAUAAAAUUUAACAUUUAUAAUAAAUAUUUAAACCUUU